Long non-coding RNA from Cydia fagiglandana, 333 nucleotides. RefSeq lists it as uncharacterized. The record is from RefSeq and is a predicted model, not a curated record. The transcript is spliced from 3 exons. Lineage: Eukaryota; Metazoa; Arthropoda; Insecta; Lepidoptera; Tortricidae.
AUCAAAAAUGACGAAUAUCCGCCUUUAAAAUGGCCGACAAAAUACAGCAUAGAAGCAACAAAACUGUACUUGACAUCGGGUUGGACCGAACAUUUUAAAUAUUGGCGGUCAACAUAUCUCUCUAGACUCGAUGCCAACAAUGGAGCGGUCAAACAAAUAAGAAUACCAGUAAUCAAGGAGGGUUAUAAAAUCGAUUUCGAGAUUCACCCUGAAACUACUGAAGAAGAAACAAACGAGAAGGUUUGCUAUCAGGUUAAGGAUUCAGAUACUGAUCCAGAUGAUCUAGAAGAGCCUAUAGGUUUUCUCCCAACAACCUACAAUUUAGAAGAAGUU